CCAAUAGCGUAUAUUAAAGUUGUUGCAGUUAAAAAGCUCGUAGUUGAAUUUCGGGAUUGGCGCAUCGGUCGUGCCUCACGGGGUAUGAACUGGUGCAGUCAAUUUCUCACCUUCUGGAGAACCGCGAUGUCCUUAAUUGGAUGCCGCGGGGAACCAGGACCUUUACUUUGAAAAAAUUAGAGUGUUUAAAGCAGGCAUUUUUGCUUGAAUACAUUAGCAUGGAAUAAUAAAAUAGGACGGCAUGGUUGUAUUUUGUUGGUUUCUAGGACCACCGUAAUGAUUAAUAGGGAUAGUUGGGGGCAUUAGUAUUCAAUUGUCAGAGGUGAAAUUCUUGGAUUUAUUGAAGACUAACUACUGCGAAAGCAUUUGCCAAGGAUGGUUUCAUUAAUCAAGAACGAAAGUUAGGGGAUCGAAGACGAUCAGAUACCGUCGUAGUCUUAACCAUAAACUAUGCCGACUAGGAAUCAGACGAUGUUAAUUUUUUAAUGACUCGUUUGGCACCUUAC
This 506-nucleotide ribosomal RNA is filed under the name uncultured Glomeromycotina. RNAcentral's name for it is "partial small subunit ribosomal RNA". It matches the Rfam family "Eukaryotic small subunit ribosomal RNA", at positions 591 to 1091 of the family's 1831-position model. The record is from RNAcentral. Lineage: Eukaryota; Fungi; Glomeromycota.